GCUUACGGCCACACCUCCCCUGAGCAAUGCCCGAUACUCGUCUGAGUCUCGGAAGCUAAGCAUGGUCGGCCCGGUUAGUACUUGGAUGGGAGACCGCCUGGGAAUACCAGGUGCUGUAAGCC
RNAcentral lists this ribosomal RNA (122 nucleotides) under Esox lucius (northern pike). Lineage: Eukaryota; Metazoa; Chordata; Actinopteri; Esociformes; Esocidae. The record is from RNAcentral.